This 253-nucleotide ribosomal RNA is filed under the name uncultured bacterium. Its description in RNAcentral is "partial 16S ribosomal RNA". It matches the Rfam family "Bacterial small subunit ribosomal RNA", at positions 524 to 776 of the family's 1533-position model. The record is from RNAcentral.
UACGGGGGGGGCAAGCGUUGUUCGGAAUUACUGGGCGUAAAGGGCUCGUAGGUGGCCAACUAAGUCGGACGUGAAAUCCCUCAGCUUAACUGGAGAACUGCGUCCGAUACUGGAUGGCUUGAGUUUGGGAGAGGGAUGCGGAAUUCCAGGUGUAGCGGUGAAAUGCGUAGAUAUCUGGAGGAACACCGGUGGCGAAGGCGGCAUCCUGGACCAACACUGACACUGAGGAGCGAAAGCCAGGGGAGCAAACGGG